Molecule: long non-coding RNA, 349 nt
Organism: Carassius auratus (goldfish)
Lineage: Eukaryota; Metazoa; Chordata; Actinopteri; Cypriniformes; Cyprinidae
Exons: 3
Source: RefSeq, a predicted model, not a curated record
CCCGUGAUCCUGAAGAGUGAGGUGGGCAUCAGAGCGGACGGAGACGCUGAAGAGGGACUUCAGGAGCCUGAUUGAGACGGUGCGCAGCAUAUCGCCUGCAUGAUGAUAAUCGUGUCAGGACCACUUCCCACAUAUAGAUGAGGACAUGAAAGGCUUUUUAGAUCUCCUGUUGGACAACAUCUCCAGGACACUUCGCUCCAUAUGACUAUUUGUGAAAAGAGAUAAUCAAGAGAAGUCAGUUCCAGAUCCACCCUCCACACCAGACCUCUCUCUCACGAGGAUUGCUGUCUACUAGCAUAUUGUGUUCUUCAGCUCUUCAGACUUCGGUGGAUGCAGAUAUUACUCAGGG